Molecule: small nuclear RNA, 100 nt
Filed under: Cavia porcellus (domestic guinea pig)
Lineage: Eukaryota; Metazoa; Chordata; Mammalia; Rodentia; Caviidae
Source: RNAcentral
GUGCUUGCUUCGGCCUCACACACACUGAAAGUGGAACCAUAAAAGGAUUAGCAUGACCCUGCACAUGGCCCUGCAAAUUUGAGAUGCAUUCCAUAUUUCU